This 468-nucleotide ribosomal RNA is filed under the name uncultured bacterium. Its description in RNAcentral is "partial 16S ribosomal RNA". It matches the Rfam family "Bacterial small subunit ribosomal RNA", at positions 28 to 507 of the family's 1533-position model. The record is from RNAcentral.
GACGAACGCUGGCGGCGUGCUUAACACAUGCAAGUCGAACGGAAAGGCCCUGCUUUUGUGGGGUGCUCGAGUGGCGAACGGGUGAGUAACACGUGAGUAACCUGCCCUUGACUUUGGGAUAACUUCAGGAAACUGGGGCUAAUACCGGCUAGGAGCUCCUGCUGCAUGGUGGGGGUUGGACAGUUUCGGCGGUUGGGGAUGGACUCGCGGCUUAUCAGCUUGUUGGUGGGGUAGUGGCUUACCAAGGCUUUGACGGGUAGCCGGCCUGAGAGGGUGACCGGCCACAUUGGGACUGAGAUACGGCCCAGACUCCUACGGGAGGCAGCAGUGGGGAAUAUUGCACAAUGGGCGGAAGCCUGAUGCAGCAACGCCGCGUGCGGGAUGACGGCCUUCGGGUUGUAAACCGCUUUCGCCUGUGACGAAGCGUGAGUGACGGUAAUGGGUAAAGAAGCACCGGCUAACUACGUG